CACACUUAGAGGAAGUGCUGUCUGAGCUCUCAUCCUCCUGCUUUUGCUCUCGUGCUCUACUUCUGCUUCCUGUUCUUUGAAUAGAUCAUCCCAACACAUGGCUUGGCAGAUUUCUGCUGAAAAAGGAAGAACAUGAGUCAAAGAGCCACUGGCCCGACACGAGGAGCUCCAACACUUCUGCCCAACCACCCAUCUAGAGCCUUGGUGAGCCCUGCUGAGAUGAGCUGAACCCCUGCUAGCCUGCAGAGCUGUCAGUCCAGCUUGGAUGGGAAAGUGACACCCAACACUCACAGAAUGUCUUAUGGAAGUGCCGGGACUAGAAACUGAAUCGUUCCCAUCUCCAAGAGCACCA
This is a long non-coding RNA of Castor canadensis (American beaver), 352 nucleotides long. RefSeq lists it as uncharacterized. The record is from RefSeq and is a predicted model, not a curated record. NCBI's taxonomy places the organism in Eukaryota, Metazoa, Chordata, Mammalia, Rodentia, Castoridae.